Molecule: long non-coding RNA, 818 nt
Filed under: Homo sapiens (human)
Lineage: Eukaryota; Metazoa; Chordata; Mammalia; Primates; Hominidae
Description: HSALNT0218666
Source: RNAcentral
AGGAACAAUAAAGCAGAACUGCAGACAGGGUGUUGGGCUUGAGAUUCUCUGAGACUGUUCGGCACCAGCAUCCCUGAAGGGAAUGUACCUAAGAGUAAACUUACUGGGUCAUAUGGCGACUCCGUUUGCCUGCAGAAGAAUGGGACUGUGAUUCCUAGAGAAUGCCUCCAAGACUUGCAGCCUGGGUGACCGCUUCAGUGUCUGUGGAGCCCUCAUGGUCAAGACGCCAUUGUGGAAGUUGUAGCAGGAUGGACCUUAAGUAUCCCCAUUGUCCCAGCCUCCUGAUGUUUACUUCUUUGUCAUAUCUCCUCCCUCUGACCUGGGUGGGGACUGUAACUUGCUUCUGACCAAUUGAAUAUGAAUGGGACGUCACUUUGUUGAUUAUGUUACAUUACAUAGGGCUCUGGUAGACUGGAGACUCUCCUUGUGCCUUGAUGAAGUACACAGCUAUGCUGGAGAAAUCCAUGUGGCAAGGAACUGCAGGUGGCCCCUGGAACCUGAGGACAGUCAGUGAAGAGCUGAGGCUCCAGUUAUGUAGCUGCAAAGAGAUGAAUUCUGUCAACAACUGGGAUGAACUUGGAAGUGGAUUUUUCCCUAGUUGAACCUUUGAUGAGAAUGUGGCCCAGCUAAUGCCUUGAUUGCAGCCUUUGAAACUGAGCAGAGGACCAGCUAAUUCGUGCCCAGACUUCUGACCCACGAAGACUGAGAUAAUAAUAUGUGGUGUUUGUGUAGCUAAGUUUGUGGCAAUUUGUUAUGCAACAUUAAGAACAGUCGAGAAUUUGGUUCCAUUAUAUAAUCUGGGCUGGAUGCCACUGAGU